AGAAACUGAGGCAAUUAAUGGUUACAAGACUUGGGUGUUCAGAAAAGAGCAGUAUGGUGUGAGGGCUGCUAAGCCCUUUGGUGUUCACCUGACCCACUUAACUCUCACCUGUGGUUCCAAGAAACUGUAGCAUGCAAAGUGGCCACACCUCAGUGAACCGUUUUGGUAGACAGACUAAACCAAGUUGAGGGUCCUGCCACUGGACAACGAUGGCUUUAGAAAAGAGAGUAAGACCGAGGACUUCGUGCAACUCCGUCUGCCUCACUUAAAUUCAAUUUACGCAUGAAUCAAAAAAAGCUAUUUCACAAGAGGAAAUGAGUCUCAUGAUUGGGGCACAAUUGAAAAUCCAACUGCCUUUUCAUGGAUUCAAGUAGAACAUGCUAUACAAAAAGGAAUGGUUAAGAAAAUGAACCUACCAAAUAAGCUUUUAUGUAAGUCUACAUAAAGCUACAGCACAGAAGAGGAAGCUGAGCCCCAGAGGAGUAAAAUCUAAUCAUACAAAGAUGUGACUUUCCUGCUUAAAGGCUCUGCAGUGGUAUGUGAGGAGAGUCAUCCAGCUUGUCAACUUGUUUCCCAGACUAUUCAGCCAAAAACCCACGGGGAAAAACUAUCCUGAAAUCUCAGACUAGUCAGAAGCUGAGCUCAAGGAACACGCAAUUCUGAUUUGUUCUUUCCAAAUUGGAACUAUACUCUGUGAACUUCCUUGAACAGUUUAUCACAUAGUUCUAUCAAAGAAGCAAUGCUCAUAGUUUCAGGUGCCAUGUGCUUGAAGAGUGAAACAAAAAUAAUUUUUUAAAAAAGCCUUCAAGUCUUUUCCAAUAUGUUUUCCACUCCCUGUCCAGACUCCCCCCUCAAUCUUCAGUCUCCUACCUUUAUAAACAUAAUUCAUCCAUAACCUAAGGUGGGAAAAAUCAGAUUUUAUUCCAUUUACUCUCAUUAUCAAAUUUAUAUUCAAUUGGGGAUUUUUAAAAUAACUCAUCAAGAUUUUCUUUAAAUUCUUCUCUAUUUAAAAACAACAACAACAACAACAACAAACCCCACCCAGAAAUGGUAUUGGGGCAACCCUUCCACUGGAAAAAAUGGAGGAAAGCAUGAUAGAAUGCAAAUAACACUAAUCUGAGAUUCGGAAAAUUUAGGUUCUAGUUCUCAGUCCCAUCAGAGACCUUAGACAAGUUCUAAAAACGAUCAAGAUUUCAGACCAGCUCCCCCUUUUACAAAUAUGCAAAUCCAGUGGCCACCUCAUUGUCCCCACAAAUGACAUGGGCAGAAUUGAGCCCAGGUCCUCUUCAAUACUGGAAGCUCCUUCUGCAAGACUACACUAAGGAACUCUGCUCUCUCUUGGUCUUUGUUCCCUCAUCUGUAAAAAAUAAAAUAAAAAGUUUUACUCUG
This is a long non-coding RNA of Sarcophilus harrisii (Tasmanian devil), 1389 nucleotides long. RefSeq lists it as uncharacterized. The record is from RefSeq and is a predicted model, not a curated record. NCBI's taxonomy places the organism in Eukaryota, Metazoa, Chordata, Mammalia, Dasyuromorphia, Dasyuridae. The transcript is spliced from 4 exons.